This 465-nucleotide ribosomal RNA is filed under the name uncultured Alicycliphilus sp. RNAcentral's name for it is "partial 16S ribosomal RNA". It matches the Rfam family "Bacterial small subunit ribosomal RNA", at positions 337 to 794 of the family's 1533-position model. The record is from RNAcentral. Lineage: Bacteria; Pseudomonadati; Pseudomonadota; Betaproteobacteria; Burkholderiales; Comamonadaceae.
UCCUACGGGAGGCAGCAGUNNCGNAUUUUGGACAANNGGCGCAAGCAUGAUCCAGCCAUGCCGCGUGCAGGAUGAAGGCCUUCGGGUUGUAAACUGCUUUUGUACGGAACGAAACGGUGCNUUCUAAUAAAGGGCGCUCAUGACCGUACCGUAAGAAUAAGCACCGGCUAACUACGUGCCAGCAGCCGCGGUAAUACGUAGGGUGCAAGCGUUAAUCGGAAUUACUGGGCGUAAAGCGUGCGCAGGCGGUUUUGUAAGACAGAGGUGAAAUCCCCGGGCUCAACCUGGGAACUGCCUUUGUGACUGCAAGGCUGGAGUGCGGCAGAGGGGGAUGGAAUUCCGCGUGUAGCAGUGAAAUGCGUAGAUAUGCGGAGGAACACCGAUGGCGAAGGCACUCCGCUGGACCUGCACUGNCGCUCAUGCACGAAANCGUGGGGNNNNNANAGGAUUAGAUACCCUGGUAGA